GAAACUUAAAGGAAUUGGCGGGGGAGCACCACAAGGCGUGAAGCUUGCGGUUCAAUUGGAGUCAACGCCGGGAACCUUACCGGGGGCGACAGCAGAAUGAAGGCCAGAUUGAAGGUCUUGCUAGACAAGCUGAGAGGAGGUGCAUGGCCGUCGCCAGUUCGUGCCGUGAGGUGUCCUGUUAAGUCAGGCAACGAUCGAGACCCACGCCUUUAGUUGCUACUGAGGAAGUUUUCCAAGGGGCACUCUAAAGGGACUGCCGUCGACAAGACGGAGGAAGGAGUGGGCUACGGCAGGUCAGUAUGCCCCGAAUCCCCCGGGCUACACGCGAGCUGCAAUGGCAGAGACAAUGGGUUCCGACCCUGAAAAGGGAAGGCAAUCUCUAAACUCUGCCCCAGUUUGGAUUGAAGGCUGGAACCCGCCUUCAUGAAAAUGGAAUGCCUAGUAAUCGCGCGUCAUCAACGCGCGGUGAAUACGUCCCCGCUCCUUGCACACACCGCCCGUCGCUCCAUCCGAGUGGGGUUUGGGUGAGGCGUGGUCUUUUUGGCUGCGUCGAAUCUGAGUUCCGCAAGGAGGGAGAAGUCGUAACAA
RNAcentral lists this ribosomal RNA (588 nucleotides) under uncultured crenarchaeote. RNAcentral's name for it is "bacterial SSU rRNA". It matches the Rfam family "Archaeal small subunit ribosomal RNA", at positions 851 to 1441 of the family's 1478-position model. The record is from RNAcentral. Lineage: Archaea; Thermoproteati; Thermoproteota.